This 163-nucleotide small nuclear RNA is filed under the name Erinaceus europaeus (western European hedgehog). Its description in RNAcentral is "U1 spliceosomal RNA (ENSEEUG00000016708.1)". It matches the Rfam family "U1 spliceosomal RNA". Rfam says of the family: U1 is a small nuclear RNA (snRNA) component of the spliceosome (involved in pre-mRNA splicing). Its 5' end forms complementary base pairs with the 5' splice junction, thus defining the 5' donor site of an intron. Lineage: Eukaryota; Metazoa; Chordata; Mammalia; Eulipotyphla; Erinaceidae. The record is from RNAcentral.
AUACUUUCCUGGCAGGGGAGUGCCAUGAUCAUGAAGGUGGUUUUCCCAGGGUGAGGCUUAUCCAUUGCACUCCGGAUGUGCUGACCCCUGCGAUUUCCCCAAAUGUGGGAAACUCGACUGCAUAAUUUGUGGUAGUGGGGGACUGCGUUCGCGCUCUCCCCUG